This 634-nucleotide ribosomal RNA is filed under the name Priestia flexa. RNAcentral describes it as "bacterial SSU rRNA". It matches the Rfam family "Bacterial small subunit ribosomal RNA", at positions 46 to 663 of the family's 1533-position model. Lineage: Bacteria; Bacillati; Bacillota; Bacilli; Caryophanales; Bacillaceae. The record is from RNAcentral.
GCCAAUACUGCAAGUCGAGCGAACUGAUUAGAAGCUUGCUUCUAUGACGUUAGCGGCGGACGGGUGAGUAACACGUGGGCAACCUGCCUGUAAGACUGGGAUAACUCCGGGAAACCGGAGCUAAUACCGGAUAACAUUUUCUCUUGCAUAAGAGAAAAUUGAAAGAUGGUUUCGGCUAUCACUUACAGAUGGGCCCGCGGUGCAUUAGCUAGUUGGUGAGGUAACGGCUCACCAAGGCAACGAUGCAUAGCCGACCUGAGAGGGUGAUCGGCCACACUGGGACUGAGACACGGCCCAGACUCCUACGGGAGGCAGCAGUAGGGAAUCUUCCGCAAUGGACGAAAGUCUGACGGAGCAACGCCGCGUGAGUGAUGAAGGCUUUCGGGUCGUAAAACUCUGUUGUUAGGGAAGAACAAGUACAAGAGUAACUGCUUGUACCUUGACGGUACCUAACCAGAAAGCCACGGCUAACUACGUGCCAGCAGCCGCGGUAAUACGUAGGUGGCAAGCGUUAUCCGGAAUUAUUGGGCGUAAAGCGCGCGCAGGCGGUUUCUUAAGUCUGAUGUGAAAGCCCACGGCUCAACCGUGGAGGGUCAUUGGAGACUGGGGAACUUGAGUGCACAAAAGAGAAGCG